AGAGUUUGAUCAUGGCUCAGGAUGAACGCUAGCGGCAGGCUUAACACAUGCAAGUCGAGGGGUAACAGGAGGUAGUUUACUAUUUUGCUGACGACCGGCGCACGGGUGAGUAACGCGUAUACAAUUUACCUUUUACAGGGGGAUAGCCUUUAGAAAUGAAGAUUAAUACCCCAUAGUAUUAUGAAGUGGCAUCACUUUAUGAUUAAAGUUUCGGCGGUAAAAGAUGAGUAUGCGUCCUAUUAGCUAGAUGGUAAGGUAACGGCUUACCAUGGCGACGAUAGGUAGGGGUCCUGAGAGGGAGAUCCCCCACACUGGUACUGAGACACGGACCAGACUCCUACGGGAGGCAGCAGUGAGGAAUAUUGGUCAAUGGAGGCAACUCUGAACCAGCCAUGCCGCGUGCAGGAAGACGGUCCUAUGGAUUGUAAACUGCUUUUAUAGAGGAAGAAACCUUACCACGUGUGGUAGGCUGACG
This 475-nucleotide ribosomal RNA is filed under the name uncultured Bacteroidota bacterium. RNAcentral's name for it is "bacterial SSU rRNA". It matches the Rfam family "Bacterial small subunit ribosomal RNA", at positions 8 to 474 of the family's 1533-position model. The record is from RNAcentral. Lineage: Bacteria; Pseudomonadati; Bacteroidota.